UAUUAUUGCCAUAUUAAUAAUAACGGCGAACCAUGUCAGGCUAGAAAUAGAGCAGCAUUAAGUUUGUUAUUAUGUAAUGUGGUUUUUAUUUUUUCU
RNAcentral lists this signal recognition particle RNA (96 nucleotides) under Mycoplasmoides fastidiosum. RNAcentral describes it as "Mycoplasma fastidiosum signal recognition particle sRNA small type". It matches the Rfam family "Bacterial small signal recognition particle RNA". From Rfam's summary of the family: The signal recognition particle (SRP) is a universally conserved ribonucleoprotein involved in the co-translational targeting of proteins to membranes. Archaeal SRP consists of a 7S RNA and homologues of the eukaryotic SRP19 and SRP54 proteins. In most bacteria, the SRP consists of a 4.5S RNA and the Ffh protein (a homologue of the eukaryotic SRP54 protein). Lineage: Bacteria; Bacillati; Mycoplasmatota; Mycoplasmoidales; Mycoplasmoidaceae. The record is from RNAcentral.